AUACGGAGGGUGCAAGCGUUAUUCGGAAUCACUGGGCGUAAAGGACGCGUAGGCGGGUUUGUAAGUCAGGUGUGAAAUCCUACAACUCAACUGUAGAACUGCACUUGAAACUACAGACCUAGAGUAUGGAAGGGGCAGAUGGAAUUAGUGGUGUAGGGGUAAAAUCCGUAGAUAUCACUAGGAAUACCGAAAGCGAAGGCGAUCUGCUGGGACAUUACUGACGCUGAGGCGUGAAAGCGUGGGGAGCAAACAGGAUUAGAAACCCUAGUAGUCC
This 274-nucleotide ribosomal RNA is filed under the name uncultured bacterium. RNAcentral's name for it is "partial 16S ribosomal RNA". It matches the Rfam family "Bacterial small subunit ribosomal RNA", at positions 523 to 796 of the family's 1533-position model. The record is from RNAcentral.